This is a long non-coding RNA of Ipomoea nil (Japanese morning glory), 244 nucleotides long. RefSeq lists it as uncharacterized. The transcript is spliced from 4 exons. Lineage: Eukaryota; Viridiplantae; Streptophyta; Magnoliopsida; Solanales; Convolvulaceae. The record is from RefSeq and is a predicted model, not a curated record.
CCAUGAAAAACAAAUAGGCGUGGAGAAGUUUUAACUGGAGUUACUCAAUCUACCCAUACCACAGGAUCAACACCUCACGUAAAAGUUGCAGCUCAACUUGAAGGACAAUUGGGUCAUUGUCCAUCGUAUUAUGAACUGUUCAGGCAUACACAUACCAAACAACACGAUGGGCAAACAUUCAUAGCUGAAAAAGCCAAACAAAUUCAUGAACAAGUUGAAUCGCAACGGGAGAUGUUGGCAGAAA